Molecule: ribosomal RNA, 458 nt
Filed under: uncultured bacterium
Lineage: Bacteria
Description: partial 16S ribosomal RNA
Rfam family: Bacterial small subunit ribosomal RNA
Source: RNAcentral
CCUACGGGUGGCAGCAGUGAGGAAUAUUGGUCAAUGGGCGCAAGCCUGAUGCAGCGACGCCGCGUGCGGGAUGGAGGCCUUCGGGUUGUAAACCGCUUUUGUUCAAGGGCAAGGCACGGUCUUUGGCCGGGUUGAGUGGAUUGUUCGAAUAAGCACCGGCUAACUACGUGCCAGCAGCCGCGGUAAUACGUAGGGUGCAAGCGUUAUCCGGAUUUAUUGGGCGGAAAGGGCUCGUAGGCGGUUCGUCGCGUCCGGGGUGAAAGUCCAUCGCUGAACGGUGGAGCCGGGCCGGGUACGGGCGGGCUUGAGUGCGGUAGGGGGGAGUGGAAGUCCCGGUGUAACGGUGGAAUGUGUAGAUAUCGGGAAGAACACCAAUGGCGAAGGCAGGUCUCUGGGCCGUUACUGACGCUGAGGAGCGAAAGCGUGGGGAGCGAACAGGAUUAGAUACCCGUGUAGUC